GACGAACGCUGGCGGCGUGCUUAACACAUGCAAGUCGAACGGAAAGGCCCUGCUUUUGUGGGGUGCUCGAGUGGCGAACGGGUGAGUAACACGUGAGCAACCUGCCCUUGACUUUGGGAUAACUUCAGGAAACUGGGGCUAAUACCGGAUAGGAGCUCCUGCUGCAUGGUGGGGGUUGGAAAGUUUCGGCGGUUGGGGAUGGACUCGCGGCUUAUCAGCUUGUUGGUGGGGUAGUGGCUUACCAAGGCUUUGACGGGUAGCCGGCCUGAGAGGGUGACCGGUCACAUUGGGACUGAGAUACGGCCCAGACUCCUACGGGAGGCAGCAGUGGGGAAUAUUGCACAAUGGGCGGAAGCCUGAUGCAGCAACGCCGCGUGCGGGAUGACGGCCUUCGGGUUGUAAACCGCUUUCGCCUGUGACGAAGCGUGAGUGACGGUAAUGGGUAAAGAAGCACCGGCUAACUACGUG
RNAcentral lists this ribosomal RNA (468 nucleotides) under uncultured bacterium. Its description in RNAcentral is "partial 16S ribosomal RNA". It matches the Rfam family "Bacterial small subunit ribosomal RNA", at positions 28 to 507 of the family's 1533-position model. The record is from RNAcentral.